GGUAUCUUUGCAAAUCAAGCUUCUUUUAAGGGCAAAACAGUAAUUGCGUCAUUAAUUGAUAAAUAGAAAUUGAGGAUCCGAUUUUUCAUUCUCUAUCUCUAACUGAAAAAUGAAAAGAACAGACGCACAAGCAGCAACUCUUCCCUUCAUCUUCACAUCCGGGGUACGUUUUCCAUUUAAUUUUUGCUCAAAUUUCUUUCUAUCAAUUUCAGUCUUUCUACUUUUUGGUCUACCUUGGUUGAAUCUGUUUUGGUUUUUGCCCUUUUUCCGCUCUUUUGGUUCAUUAUUGCUUCCUUAACGUUGUCUUUUUCCUUUUCUAAUUUUAUUACGUUGUUCUCUCGGUAUUCUGUAUCUCUCUCCCUCCAGAGUAAUUAUCGAGGUUGGGAUAUAUAUUUUUUUUGGUUUUUGUUUUGCUUUCCAGCAGAAGCGGAUUCAAGAUAUAAAUCAUAUGGGUUCAACUUUUAAGAUUUUUAACGUUGAACUCAUUAUAUUUGUAAAGCUAUGGGUUCAUAUCUACUAUUUUUUGCAAUUUUAAUAAAUUUUGACACAAAUUCUUACUCCACAAUCAAAAGUUAAAGUUAUGAGUUCAAUUAAAACCCGUCGUUAGAACUUUACAUACGCCCCUGCUUUCAAGGAAGAUUUUCUCAUAAAUAGGAGCUUUGUUUAAUUGUAUUGAACUAUGAAUAGAUUUUAAAUAGGUAUUGUGAAAAUGAAACAGAGAUUAUUUUCUGUUCUUUUCACAUUGUGGUUUUAUUUUUGUUUUAUGUAUAAUCUGCUAUUAACUGGCAUGUUAACUUGUUGGUCCUGCUCUACAAAAAAUAUGUUUCUGCUCUCUCUUAAAUUUUAUUUAUAAGAAUUUUUCUUCACUAAAAACUUAAUCUUGGCAAAGCAUUCCAAUUAAAAGUUGCAGUAUAUUAGCAUAAUGAAAAAUAGCACAAACUGACAAUACUCUGAAAAUCCACCAAACCUAAAGGUACCGUCUUAAAGCCAAUAUAGAACUAAUGGUUAGAGUUAUGAGUUACUAUAAGAAUUGGUGCUUUGUAAGACUUUAAGGUUGAUUCAUCCUAUGCAAAAAUAGUUAAAUUGAAAUUUCUUGUAUAUGCUUUGAUAAACAAUCUUGCUGGUUUAGAAAUUUCUUUUAAAAUCUAGGAAAUAAGGUCACAUCCAAAGAACCAAUGUGCACAAACGAAAAUACUAAAAGCCUGGGAACUUCAAAUUUUGAGGAUUCCAAGUUGAACUGCUCCAAUUGGUCAACAAUCUGUGUGCAUUUUUCAAAAUGGGUUAUAAAUGUCGCUGUAUUAGAGUUACUCAUUUGUCAAUAAUGAAUAUUUUGCUAUAACUGUAGAACUUUCAUGUCUUAUACCGGUUUUAGAAGCAACAAGCACGCGUCCUUUUUAUUUAUUCCCCUAUAUAUCUUCUUUCCCUUCCCCCAAAACUUUAGUUUUUAUCAUACUUCAGAUCUUAAAAUACCAACAUUGUUAAGGUUAAAAUUUUCUUGAAUUUAAAUGUGGUUGACUUGAAGAGGAGUGCAAGCUAAGAUAGUUCAUGUGAUCCGAUGAUUGGCAAAAUUGCGAGUAUUUGAUUGUUUGCAUGACAUAAUUAGACACUUUUUACCAAAAGGUGAGCAAUUAGAUCUUCAUAAAAUGACUUUUUUGGUCAACUUAAAGUAAAAUAUUCUUAUUAUUAAUUAUUUUUUUAUUUCUUAUUUGGAAUUAAUGAGUAGUUCCUAUUGUUGUAAUCUUUAAGGAUGGAUAAAAAUAUAUCGAUAUUUUGUUCUUCAAUGAAUAAUUUUAAAAAAUAAUGGAAUAUUUCUUCCAGUUUCCCGCUGACAAGCUAGAGGGUCUAUAAAAGCUUGACGGGAAAGUAAAGUUUUGAACUUUAAAAGGUUUAUUAAUGAGAUCAUGCUAACAAUAACAAGUAAACAUAAUUCUUCCCUUUAAAUACACAUUCAAAUUUUGGUGGAUCUUCUGGCUAUAUGUGAAGAAAUUACCAACCUCUUGAGUGGAUCUCUUUGAUAGAAAAAAAUACUUUUGCGCAAGUUCAUGUAUGUGUAUAUUAUAAUUGCCUGGUCUAGGACUAUGAUAAAUAACCUUUGCUCAUAAAAUCUUGGGAUAUUCACCAUACUAGAAGAUUUCUUCUUAAUGAUCUAGCUCGACCCAGCAAAUUAAAGUAUUUAUAGACUUAAAGAACCUAUCAUGGAUUUCAUGAGCCAGGAUCCUACUUCAGAUGAAGAGGCUUCCUUUUCUGCCAAAGAACUAAAAUUAUAGGGUUAGUAUCGGUAUAGUAAAAGUGCUUUUUUUAUAUCCAUGGAGUGAUAAUUGAUAAGGCGUCAUUGACUAACCACAUCGGUUUCUUCUUCAUCUAUUUUUAUAUGGGCCUAGAUAUCAAGUUUCUAAAUUUAUAAGCAGCAACCUGCUACUCUGCUUCAACACUUCCUUAAUAUCAACAAGUAGGCGUGCUAAAUCAAUAUUGUCCUCAGUUUCCAUUUGAAUGUGAAGCUCACCGUAUUGCCACCAGUAUUUAUUAUAAUAGUAUAUAUGCAUGAAUCUUUUACAAAUUAGUUCUUGUAGCUUCCAGAAUAAGGCUCCUAUACCAUUAGAUGUCCUAUGCCAAAUUUGUCAGCAUUACUUAUGGUGGCUGUUUUGUAGUUCAUAGCUAUCUAUUUGGUUAUUUUUUUAUCGCUUGUUCAUUUAUGUGAAGUAACUACUAAACUAAGUACCAUAUUCUUUUUGGGACAUGUAUCUUUUGAAAUGUACGCUCCUCAAGUCCAUCAUUUUGUACUGUAAAUUUCUAAAAAAGUACUUUCUAUUUAAAAGUCAGCAGAAGAUAAAUAUGUAAUACUAGAAUGAAUAUUUACACAUGUAGUUAGACGUUUGAUUGAAAGAGUUUAAACUUUUAAUGAAGUUAACAUAGAAGGCUUGAUGAUAUUCAAAACCCUAAGAUUGUCAAUUGGGUCGAGCAUAGAAAUUAAAUUUUUUUGCAGAGCUUAAUUACUUCCCUCGAUUUAUAGCAAGGCACAAGUUUUCAGUUCAAAAGAAUAAAUGGCUCAGAAGAUAUUAAAGCUCCACACUUUUCUCCAGUUUUGGUCUAAUUGCAGUUUUGCUGCAAUCUUUUUUUUUCCUUUUUGCAGUUUUGCUGCAAUUUUGUGUUCAAUAAUUGAUGCAGUUUUAGUCUAGCUAAGAAGCAGUUUUACUGCAAUUUUUGUCCAGUUUUGAUGGGGUUUUUUAUGGAAUGGGUCUUGAAGAUGUGAAUUAAGGUUUUUUAGAGGGUAGAAGAUGAUCGUUGAUUAAGGGAGAGCUUUUUCCAUGGUGUAUAUCCACGCCAUUAAUUAUAUUAUAGUUAAAUAUGUGUGGCAUCUGAUGUGGAGGGUCGUUAAUAGUAACGGUAGAUGUAGGCUAAAAAUUAGGUGACAGAAGUAUAAUUGCUACUAGAAUUUAACGGAGAAUAAAAAUGACCUAUUUCAAAUAGUUCAAGGGUAAAAGUCACAUGAUUGCAAUGCAAGUUCAUUUUAGGAACAUCAACGUUGGUGGUAUUAUCUAUUGACGCCGUAAAAUAGAGUUCCAAGCAGCUAGAUAUGAAAUCAACAUAUGCUAUCUUUUUCCAUUCAUUCUCAUUGCUCUUCACCUAUUUUUUUUAAACGUAGUUUUGCUUGGAAUUUGCUUGUAAAUUUGUAUUUUAUUCAGAUGUUUUACCUGAAAGUACAAGUAGUGGAUUGAUAAACCGUCUUUGCAUAUUUGGUAGGGGCUAAUUCACGUGGCCACUUGUAGUUCUUGAUAGUUCGGUUUGCUCUACUUUUAGUUUAGUAAGUGAAAUGCACAAAGAUUAUAUGAUUCAUGUGUUUGUAUAAAUGGGAUGUGUACAUGCAUUCACAUAUAUAUGUGCUAUGUUUUAACAUAUAUUAAGCUUGUAUUAUGAACAUGCUUCUAUGAUGAAUACUUUUGACUUCUUCUAUUUUUCUUUGUUUGCAGAUUAUAACUACCGAGCGAAAAUCAGAGCAAAAUUUACUUACUAUAGUUGUUGAAGAGUUAAAAGUUCCUCCUCCUCCACUUUGAAUGGUAAUGGCUAUGAACUAUUGAUCUUGGUACCUAUUUUUGUUCAAUCCCUCAGCAUUCCAUUCCUUAUAUAUUUAUGUUUAUCAUUAUGAUGGUAAGGCCUAAAUCACUUUAUGCACUUCCAUGAAAUAGCCAGUCUUGGAUUGCGUAUUAUGUGUUUUAGUUUAUUUAUUUCAUUGUCUUUUUGUUGUAGUUAUGCACAUGCUUCAAUUGGUUCUAACAUGCCUAUAAAAAGGAUUGCUUUGUACUUUAUGUUGUAUUUAAUUUUUCUUUUGUGCAAGCUAUUUAUUUAAUUAUUUCGCCUGAUUUAAGCAAAUUAGUUUGAUUCAAAUGACAACCUUGAUGUGUUAUGUUCAAUGAUAUGCUUUGUUAUAAUUAUAAUUGUGUGUUCAGUAUCUUGUCUGUCAUUGAAACUUCAUUUAUUCAGGAACUAUAUUCUAUCUCUAAGAUACCCUUUCAUUGAUGGAUGAUUGGUGCAUUUCUUCAUUGAAUUAAACGGCUGAUAAAGAAGUUACUUUUUGCUGAUAAGGAGGUUACUUACUUUUGCAGGAGGCUUGAUGUUUUUAUCAUACUACGAAUUCAUAGAUUCUUAAGUUAUGCCAUUCUUACCCUGCUAAACCAGUUGAAACACAUAUAGACGCUUGCUAAGACCCAGUAACAAUAAAAGCUUAUAAUAUGAAUAAAGAUGUAUGAAGGAGUUCACCUAUUUAUCUUGACUUAUCAAUGGUAACUAAAUCAUGCCGUUACAAUAACUAUUUAGUAGCAGAAGAUAUUUCAGAAACCAAGUCAUGAAGAAGUAGUGUCUUUGGUCUAUUACUUUGUAUAGUUUAUCUUCAAUGAAUUUAAUUUCAUUGAGGGAGUGAGAUUUAUUAUUUCUGAAUGCCCAGAUUAUGAAUAUGUAUGUUCUGAGUUGUAGAUGGUCUUUAACAUUUGUCGUGAUUUACUAAGAAUGGGCUAUGCUUUUUGUGUUAGAAAAA
Molecule: long non-coding RNA, 5029 nt
Filed under: Nicotiana benthamiana
Lineage: Eukaryota; Viridiplantae; Streptophyta; Magnoliopsida; Solanales; Solanaceae
Description: long non-coding RNA (NBEN_LNC020176)
Source: RNAcentral